CGGAGGGUAGCGGCGGACGGGUGAGUAACGCGUGGGAACGUGCCCUGGGGUAAGGAACAACCGCUGGAAACGGCGGCUAAUACCUUAUGAUGUCCAUUGUAGAGAUAUGGUGGACCAAAGAUUUAUCGCCCUUGGAUCGGCCCGCGUUGGAUUAGGUAGUUGGUGGGGUAAUGGCCUACCAAGCCGACGAUCCAUAGCUGGUUUGAGAGGAUGACCAGCCACACUGGGACUGAGACACGGCCCAG
RNAcentral lists this ribosomal RNA (245 nucleotides) under uncultured bacterium. RNAcentral's name for it is "partial 16S ribosomal RNA". It matches the Rfam family "Bacterial small subunit ribosomal RNA", at positions 86 to 334 of the family's 1533-position model. The record is from RNAcentral.